RNAcentral lists this non-coding RNA (70 nucleotides) under unclassified sequences. The record is from RNAcentral.
AAUGUAAUGCAGCUUGUAUUCAGUUUUGAUAUACAAACGGUGACAAGCCCGUGUAAAUGCAGAGUCGAAG